Molecule: ribosomal RNA, 2287 nt
Filed under: Salmonella enterica
Lineage: Bacteria; Pseudomonadati; Pseudomonadota; Gammaproteobacteria; Enterobacterales; Enterobacteriaceae
Description: partial 23S ribosomal RNA
Rfam family: Bacterial large subunit ribosomal RNA
Source: RNAcentral
UGGGUCAGCGACUUAUAUUCUGUAGCAAGGUUAACCGUAUAGGGGAGCCGGAGGGAAACCGAGUCUUAACCGGGCGUUAAGUUGCAGGGUAUAGACCCGAAACCCGGUGAUCUAGCCAUGGGCAGGUUGAAGGUUGGGUAACACUAACUGGAGGACCGAACCGACUAAUGUUGAAAAAUUAGCGGAUGACCUGUGGCUGGGGGUGAAAGGCCAAUCAAACCGGGAGAUAGCUGGUUCUCCCCGAAAGCUAUUUAGGUAGCGCCUCGUGAAUUCAUCUCCGGGGGUAGAGCACUGUUUCGGCUAGGGGGCCAUCCCGGCUUACCAACCCGAUGCAAACUGCGAAUACCGGAGAAUGUUAUCACGGGAGACACACGGCGGGUGCUAACGUCCGUCGUGAAGAGGGAAACAACCCAGACCGCCAGCUAAGGUCCCAAAGUCAUGGUUAAGUGGGAAACGAUGUGGGAAGGCCCAGACAGCCAGGAUGUUGGCUUAGAAGCAGCCAUCAUUUAAAGAAAGCGUAAUAGCUCACUGGUCGAGUCGGCCUGCGCGGAAGAUGUAACGGGGCUAAACCAUGCACCGAAGCUGCGGCAGCGAACGUAUCACCCAAGACAACUUUACGGAGUUGACGAUUGACGGAGCGAAGCGACGUCAAAGCGUUCAUUAAAGUCGAGUUGGCUUAGGGAUACGUUCGUUGGGUAGGGGAGCGUUCUGUAAGCCUGUGAAGGUGUGUCGUGAGGCAUGCUGGAGGUAUCAGAAGUGCGAAUGCUGACAUAAGUAACGAUAAAGCGGGUGAAAAGCCCGCUCGCCGGAAGACCAAGGGUUCCUGUCCAACGUUAAUCGGGGCAGGGUGAGUCGACCCCUAAGGCGAGGCCGAAAGGCGUAGUCGAUGGGAAACGGGUUAAUAUUCCCGUACUUGGUGUUACUGCGAAGGGGGGACGGAGAAGGCUAUGUUGGCCGGGCGACGGUUGUCCCGGUUUAAGCGUGUAGGUGUGUGUUCCAGGUAAAUCCGGUUCACUUUAACACUGAGGCGUGACGACGAGGCACUACGGUGCUGAAGCAACAAAUGCCCUGCUUCCAGGAAAAGCCUCUAAGCAUCAGGUAACACGAAAUCGUACCCCAAACCGACACAGGUGGUCAGGUAGAGAAUACCAAGGCGCUUGAGAGAACUCGGGUGAAGGAACUAGGCAAAAUGGUGCCGUAACUUCGGGAGAAGGCACGCUGACACGUAGGUGAAGUGAUUUACUCAUGGAGCUGAAGUCAGUCGAAGAUACCAGCUGGCUGCAACUGUUUAUUAAAAACACAGCACUGUGCAAACACGAAAGUGGACGUAUACGGUGUGACGCCUGCCCGGUGCCGGAAGGUUAAUUGAUGGGGUCAGCGUAAGCGAAGCUCCUGAUCGAAGCCCCGGUAAACGGCGGCCGUAACUAUAACGGUCCUAAGGUAGCGAAAUUCCUUGUCGGGUAAGUUCCGACCUGCACGAAUGGCGUAAUGAUGGCCAGGCUGUCUCCACCCGAGACUCAGUGAAAUUGAACUCGCUGUGAAGAUGCAGUGUACCCGCGGCAAGACGGAAAGACCCCGUGAACCUUUACUAUAGCUUGACACUGAACAUUGAGCCUUGAUGUGUAGGAUAGGUGGGAGGCUUUGAAGUGUGGACGCCAGUCUGCAUGGAGCCGACCUUGAAAUACCACCCUUUAAUGUUUGAUGUUCUAACGUGGACCCGUAAUCCGGGUUGCGGACAGUGUCUGGUGGGUAGUUUGACUGGGGCGGUCUCCUCCUAAAGAGUAACGGAGGAGCACGAAGGUUGGCUAAUCCUGGUCGGACAUCAGGAGGUUAGUGCAAUGGCAUAAGCCAGCUUGACUGCGAGCGUGACGGCGCGAGCAGGUGCGAAAGCAGGUCAUAGUGAUCCGGUGGUUCUGAAUGGAAGGGCCAUCGCUCAACGGAUAAAAGGUACUCCGGGGAUAACAGGCUGAUACCGCCCAAGAGUUCAUAUCGACGGCGGUGUUUGGCACCUCGAUGUCGGCUCAUCACAUCCUGGGGCUGAAGUAGGUCCCAAGGGUAUGGCUGUUCGCCAUUUAAAGUGGUACGCGAGCUGGGUUUAGAACGUCGUGAGACAGUUCGGUCCCUAUCUGCCGUGGGCGCUGGAGAACUGAGGGGGGCUGCUCCUAGUACGAGAGGACCGGAGUGGACGCAUCACUGGUGUUCGGGUUGUCAUGCCAAUGGCACUGCCCGGUAGCUAAAUGCGGAAGAGAUAAGUGCUGAAAGCAUCUAAGCACGAAACUUGCCCCGA